UACAGAGGUCUCAAGCGUUGUUCGGAUUCAUUGGGCGUAAAGGGUGCGUAGGCGGCGCGGUAAGUCGGGUGUGAAAUCUCGGGGCUUAACUCCGAAACUGCAUUCGAUACUGCCGUGCUUGAGGACUGGAGAGGAGACUGGAAUUUACGGUGUAGCGGUGAAAUGCGUAGAUAUCGUAAGGAAGACCAGUGGCGUAGGCGGGUCUCUGGACAGUUCCUGACGCUGAGGCACGAAGGUCAGGGGAGCAAACGGG
Molecule: ribosomal RNA, 253 nt
Filed under: uncultured bacterium
Lineage: Bacteria
Description: partial 16S ribosomal RNA
Rfam family: Bacterial small subunit ribosomal RNA
Source: RNAcentral